AUUGAACGCUGGCGGCAGGCCUAACACAUGCAAGUCGAGCGGUAGAGAGAAGCUUGCUUCUCUUGAGAGCGGCGGACGGGUGAGUAAUGCCUAGGAAUCUGCCUGGUAGUGGGGGAUAACGUUCGGAAACGGACGCUAAUACCGCAUACGUCCUACGGGAGAAAGCAGGGGACCUUCGGGCCUUGCGCUAUCAGAUGAGCCUAGGUCGGAUUAGCUAGUUGGUGGGGUAAUGGCUCACCAAGGCGACGAUCCGUAACUGGUCUGAGAGGAUGAUCAGUCACACUGGAACUGAGACACGGUCCAGACUCCUACGGGAGGCAGCAGUGGGGAAUAUUGGACAAUGGGCGAAAGCCUGAUCCAGCCAUGCCGCGUGUGUGAAGAAGGUCUUCGGAUUGUAAAGCACUUUAAGUUGGGAGGAAGGGCAGUAAAUUAAUACGUUGCUGUUUUGACGUUACCGACAGAAUAAGCACCGGCUAACUCGGUG
This 484-nucleotide ribosomal RNA is filed under the name uncultured bacterium. RNAcentral's name for it is "partial 16S ribosomal RNA". It matches the Rfam family "Bacterial small subunit ribosomal RNA", at positions 30 to 507 of the family's 1533-position model. The record is from RNAcentral.